This 1823-nucleotide ribosomal RNA is filed under the name Triticum aestivum (bread wheat). Its description in RNAcentral is "partial small subunit ribosomal RNA". The record is from RNAcentral. Lineage: Eukaryota; Viridiplantae; Streptophyta; Magnoliopsida; Poales; Poaceae.
CUUCUUGCAUGAAUAUACUCAGACUAACAAUUUGCAGCGUUAGAUACUCUCAUCCCAAGAGAAAUCAUUUGAGUACUUUCCAGAGCCUCAUACUGCGUAUUCGAGGUGGGCGCCCCUUCUGGGUGCCAUCGGUGCAUAGACAGUUCCGAAAUACACUUCGAUCUAAGCGUCUUUUGAACGUCAAGUUCCGGGUCAGGUGACAAGUUCAACGAAUGAUCACAUCAUAUCUCAAGAUCCACCUUCAAGUUGAAUUGUCAGAGGUGACGUAAUGGCCAUAUAUUUUGGCAUAAAACCUUGGUUUCCGUUUAAAACAUACGGAGACCCUAGACCACCCCCUAACGACCUUAAAUCAGAUAAAACCCUGUUGGGUUAUUGAUAAAGUCUUUAAGGAUUUAUUUAGGAUCUCCGGGUGAAUCGGGUAAACACGUUCCGUUCCCUAUGAUGAUUACAAAUCAGGGUGUAACGAUCAACUCACCCUCAACCUGGAGGAAUAUUCCCUCCAAGAAAGGGGUGAACAUACUCGUACUCUUGUUCCCCCUGUAGGUGCGCGCGAGGAGGAGGCGGCGAGCGGAGCAGUGCGGCGCGGCGCGGCGCGCAACGCCCUUACUUGGCUCGGCUACAGAUUUAAAAACGGUACGUGAUGCCCAUAUGCUUUCCAGUGAGCUUUCGACUUUGUAAAAAAGACAUGACCUGUGACUUAGGCUUGCCGCGCGGAGAAGCCGACGACGGACAAGCAAAGCAGAAGGCGCAAAGGAAGUCGAGGGCCGCGUCGGAGAGCGGAGGAAGAGAACGCGGAUAUUUUCCCUCCAGUGGGGAGAGUUUCUCUGCGUGGUCUUAGAGAAGGAGGAGAGUGGUGUUCAAGGACUCGUGACGCGACGACAAUGCAAGAAGGAGUAGGGCCGAACGCCGCACGUGACGACCAGCCCUGUCAUCCGGAGGCCUUGGCGUGGAAAACUCAGGACAUGCCCUCUUCCCACUAUUCCAAAAACCCCCCGCGAGACGCGCUGAUGACUGAAGAAGCAGUGCCUGCGGGGCCUGAGGCUGCUGAUGAAGGGGCUGCUGCUGAUGAAGGGACUGUAGCUGUUGGAGGAGCUGCUGUACCUCCUGUGGCUGGGGUUCAGGUCACGGAGACGAGGACGACGACAGUGCUUGCGUUGGCUGGCCAAGUUCACCUUACCUUGUAGAAAAGUUGUUGUAACCGGACGAAUUAGAAAUGCCCGUGGCAUCAUCUAAUAUUAACAUAGAUAAGGGGGGAGAGAUAUAUGAGGGUUCCUAAGAACUGCUACACGCCAUUCUGCAGACGAUAGUUAGUUUAAACCUUAAGAACUCUUCCUUGGGGAGGGUGACCUCAACACCGUAGGUGCGUGUACUCCACGUUGACACGGUACCACCGUACCGAAACCUCGUCCUCGAUACGAACGACGGUGGCGCUCUAUAAGUGCGUGUAGGUGUAUACGCGGUAGGUAUGUGUACUCCACGUAGACAGGGUACCACAGGAGCGAAAUCUCGACCUCAACACGAACGAUGAAGGCGCUCUAUAAGUACGUGUAGGUGUAUACACGGACUGGAACGGCGGAGAUGGACUACACUACGCUAAAACCGUGUACGUUACGACUUCUCCGUGCACUGUUAAAGGUAAACGGAUACGAAAGAAAAUGAUAAGAAAAGAAAAGUAUGUACAAGUAAUGCGAACCAAUGCCGUUGCUCUAUAGUAGAUUCCUUACUAAUUAGUAGUUCUCCACAUGUUCCAUUUCGUUCCUUAUGUAGUUGACAGAACUCAUAACCGCUCACGAAUGUAGUAGAAUUACGGUUACCUAGAAGCG